RNAcentral lists this ribosomal RNA (2041 nucleotides) under human gut metagenome. Its description in RNAcentral is "bacterial LSU rRNA". It matches the Rfam family "Bacterial large subunit ribosomal RNA", at positions 293 to 2467 of the family's 2925-position model. The record is from RNAcentral.
CCCAGCCGAUGGAUUUGAUUGUAAGAACUAGAACAGCGUGGGAAAGCUGACCGAAGAUGGUGAUAGUCCAGUAUAGGUAGAAAGCAAUUAAGUUCUUGAGUAGGGCGGAGCACGAGAAAUUCUGUCUGAAAAUGGGGAGACCACUCUCCAAGGCUAAGUACUACUGAGUGACCGAUAGUGAACAAGUACCGUGAGGGAAAGGUGAAAAGCACCCCUAUAAGGGGAGUGAAAAAGAACCUGAAACCGGAUGCCUACAAGCAGUCGGAGGAGCAUUAGGCUCUGACGGCGUACCUUUUGUAUAAUGGGUCAGCGACUUAAUUUAUGUAGCAAGCUUAAGCCGAUAGGUGUAGGCGCAGCGAAAGCGAGUGUUAAUAGCGCGUUAAGUUACAUGGAUUAGACCCGAAACCGAGUGAUCUAGCCAUGAUCAGGUUGAAGGUUGGGUAACACCAACUGGAGGACCGAACCCACUCCCGUUGAAAAGGUAGGGGAUGAAUUGUGGCUAGGGGUGAAAGGCCAAUCAAACUCGGAAAUAGCUGGUUCUCCGCGAAAACUAUUUAGGUAGUGCGGCAAGCGGACACGUUGAGGGGUAGAGCACUGAAAGAGCUAAGGGGGAGCGAUCCUUACUAAACUUUAUCAAACUCCGAAUACUCAACAGUGAUACUUGCCAGACAGACUGUAGGUGCUAAGGUCUACGGUCGAGAGGGAAAGAGCCCAGACCGCCAAUUAAGGUCCCAAAAUUAUGGCUAAGUGGUAAAGGAAGUGAAUUGUCCAAAACAGUCAGGAGGUUGGCUUAGAAGCAGCCAUCCUUUAAAGAAAGCGUAAUAGCUCACUGAUCUAAACAAGACGAUUUGCGCCGAAGAUGUAACGGGGCUAAAGCCAUAUACCGAAGUUGCGGAAUUGCACGUAAGUGCAAUUGGUAGCGGAGCGUUCUGUAAGCCUGCGAAGGUGUUCCGUAAGGAAUGCUGGAGGUAUCAGAAGUGAGAAUGCUGACAUGAGUAGCGAAAAGAAGUGUGAGAGACACUUCCGCUGAAAGUCCAAGGUUUCCUGCGUAAAGCUAAUCUGCGCAGGGUUAGUCGGCCCCUAAGGCGAGGCAGAGAUGCGUAGUCGAUGGGAAUCAGGUUAAUAUUCCUGAACCAACUAGGAAGUGACGGAUUCAGUAAAUUGUAUGUCCUUAUUGGAUUGGAUGUGCAGUGAAUGAGUCCCGGGAAAUAGCCCUAGUAUAGACCGUACCCGAAACCGACACAGGUGGACAGGUAGAGAAUACCAAAGCGCUUGAGAGAACUAUGUUGAAGGAACUAGGCAAAAUACUUGCGUAACUUCGGGAUAAGCAAGCCCCAUUUCUGGGCAACCAGAGGUGGGGGGCACAUACUAGGGGGUAGCGACUGUUUACUAAAAACACAGGGCUCUGCUAAAUUGAAAGAUGAAGUAUAGGGUCUGACGCCUGCCCGGUGCUGGAAGGUUAAGGAGAGAUGUGCAAGCAUUGAACUGAAGCCCCAGUAAACGGCGGCCGUAACUAUAACGGUCCUAAGGUAGCGAAAUUCCUUGUCGGGUAAGUUCCGACCUGCACGAAUGGCGUAACGACUUCCCCGCUGUCUCCAACAUAGACUCAGCGAAAUUGAAUUCUGAGUUAAGAUGCUCAGUACCCGCGGUUAGACGGGAAGACCCCGUGAACCUUUACUAUAGCUUUGCAGUGGUAUUAGGUGACAAAUGUGUAGGAUAGGUGGGAUGCUAUGAAGUUAUGACGCUAGUUGUAAUGGAGCAGACGUUGAAAUACCACCCUUUUGUUAUUUGAUAUCUAACCUGCUUCCGUUAUCCGGAAGAGGGACCCUGCAUGGCGGGUAGUUUGACUGGGGCGGUCGCCUCCCAAAGAGUAACGGAGGCGCGCAAAGGUUGGCUCAGAUUGGUCGGAAAUCAAUCGUUGAGUGCAAUGGCAUAAGCCAGCCUGACUGCGAGAGCGACAGUUCGAGCAGAGACGAAAGUCGGUCAUAGUGAUCCGGUGGUCCCGAGUGGAAGGGCCAUCGCUCAACGGAUAAAAGGUACU